This 915-nucleotide ribosomal RNA is filed under the name uncultured archaeon. Its description in RNAcentral is "bacterial SSU rRNA". It matches the Rfam family "Archaeal small subunit ribosomal RNA", at positions 1 to 922 of the family's 1478-position model. The record is from RNAcentral.
UUCCGGUUGAUCCUGCCGGAGGUCACUGCUAUCGGGGUUCGAUUAAGCCAUGCGAGUCGAGAGGGUUCAGACCCUCGGCGGACUGCUCAGUAACACGUGGAUAAUCUGCCCUAUGGUGGAGGAUAACCCCGGGAAACUGGGGAUAAUACUCCAUAAGUCAGGAGUACUGGAAUGUCUCCUAACUGAAAGUUUCGGCGCCAUAGGAUGAAUCUGCGGCCGAUUAGGUAGUUGUUGGGGUAACGGCCCAACAAGCCCGUAAUCGGUACGGGUUGUGGGAGCAAGAGCCCGGAGAUGGAAUCUGAGACACGAUUCCAGGCCCUACGGGGCGCAGCAGGCGCGAAAACUUUACAAUGCAGGAAACUGUGAUAAGGGAACCCCGAGUGCCCGUACACGCGGGCUGUCCCGGUGUUUAAAACACAUCGGAAGAAAGGGCCGGGCAAGACCGGUGCCAGCCGCCGCGGUAAUACCGGCGGCUCGAGUGGUGACCACUUUUAUUGGGCUUAAAGCGUUCGUAGCUUGAUUUUUAAGUCUCUUGGGAAAUCUCACGGCUUAACUGUGAGGCGUCUAAGAGAUACUGGGAAUCUAGGGACCGGGAGAGGUAAGAGGUACUUCAGGGGUAGAAGUGAAAUUCUGUAAUCCUUGAGGGACCACCGAUGGCGAAGGCAUCUUACCAGCACGGCUUCGACAGUGAGGAACGAAAGCUGGGGGAGCGAACGGGAUUAGAUACCCCGGUAGUCCCAGCCGUAAACUAUGCGCGUUAGGUGUGCCUGUAACUACGAGUUACCGGGGUGCCGAAGUGAAAACGUGAAACGUGCCGCCUGGGAAGUACGGUCGUCAAGGCUGAAACUUAAAGGAAUUGGGCGGGGGAGCACCACGACGGGUGGAGCCUGCGGUUUAAUUGGAUUCCACGCCGGG